CAGCAGCCACGGUAAGACAGAGGAUGCAAGCGUUAUCCGGAAUGAUUGGGCGUAAAGUGUCUGUAGGUGGCUUUUCAAGUCCGCCGUCAAAUCCCAGGGCUCAACCCUGGACAGGUGGUGGAAACUACCAAGCUGGAGUAUGGUAGGGGCAGAGGGAAUUUCCGGUGGAGCGGUGAAAUGCAUUGAGAUCGGAAAGAACACCAACGGCGAAAGCACUCUACUGGGCCGACAUUGACACUGAGAGGCGAAAGGUAGGGGAGCAAAUGGGAUUAGAUACCCCUGUAGUCCCUGUCUCUUAUAA
RNAcentral lists this ribosomal RNA (301 nucleotides) under uncultured bacterium. RNAcentral's name for it is "partial 16S ribosomal RNA". It matches the Rfam family "Bacterial small subunit ribosomal RNA", at positions 509 to 808 of the family's 1533-position model. The record is from RNAcentral.